RNAcentral lists this ribosomal RNA (253 nucleotides) under uncultured bacterium. RNAcentral describes it as "partial 16S ribosomal RNA". It matches the Rfam family "Bacterial small subunit ribosomal RNA", at positions 524 to 776 of the family's 1533-position model. The record is from RNAcentral.
UACGUAGGGACCAAGCGUUGUCCGGAAUCAUUGGGCGUAAAGCGCGCGUAGGCGGCCCGGUAAGUCCGUUGUAAAAGUCGAAGGCUCAACCUUCGAAAGCCGAUGGAUACUGCCGGGCUAGAGUACGGAAGAGGCGAGUAGAAUUCCUGGUGUAGCGGUGGAAUGCGCAGAUAUCAGGAGGAACACCGAUGGCGAAGGCAGGUCUCUGGGCCACUACUGACGCUGAGAAGCGAAAGCAUGGGGAGCGAACAGG